GCGUGCGCUAAACCCGCCUUGACUUCAGCCGCUGCUUUUCUCCCAGCCUUUUCCAGGGUGAGAGGGGCAGAGCCACACUCAGGAUGUCCCUCCCGUCCUUGGAUGGAUGCUCGGCCCCACGGGAUGCGAUUUUUGGGGUUUUUACCAAGUCUGGGCUGCAAGAUGCUCCUGGGAAACAGUUUGGGGCUGAUUUGAUGGAAUUGAUGCUGAUUCAAAGCUCCCAAAUGCACCAGCUGCUGAUGCACGGCCUGGCCAUGGCAGCUUUGAUGCCCCUUGGUGUGGGGCCAGCCCCAGCCCCAGCCCAGGUGAGGCUCAGGGGUGCUGGGUGGGCAGAGGAACCUUCCCAGGGCUGUUCAAGAGUGGGAUCACCACACCCUGCUUUGGGACUCUCUGGAUGCAGCACUUGGGUGGUCCCAGCCCAGCUCAGAGCAGCCCUUUGGGGUUUUGGGGCUCUCUGUGGUGGUUUGAACCCCGGCUCUGACAGCUCAGACCCCAUCCAGGCCCUCCGGCAGAGCUUUAGCCCAGCUGGGAAGAGCCAGGACCCUCUGGAAGUGCAGCCCAGCCAGGCAGGAAGGCUCUGCAGGGGCCACCAUUGAAAAAUCCAUCUCGAACCAAAACCAUAUGAAACAUUUGAUCUCCUUGGGGGGAACAAUGCUGCUUUUGGGGCAGGGCUGGGCUGUGGCAGCUGCUGAGCUCGCUGCCAGCUGGCACCUCUCAGCACUCACCCCUGCCCUCCCAGUGCCACCAGUACAGGGCUGGCCAGGACUGGACCCUGCCCCCUCAGACGGGUCUCAGAUCAAACGGGCUCUUCCCACGGGCCUCUGGUCCCAUCUGUGGGGCCGCCACCCCCCGUGUCCCCAACAAUGUUCCCCCGGGACCGAGUGGGACCGAGUGGGACAGGUGUGAUCCACGGGCAGCGGCGCUUCUGGGGGUCCUGGAGCCCGGCCCAGCCUCUGUCCCUCCCGCAGGCGCUGCCGGGGCCUCCGCAGGGCGAGGAGGAAGAGGAGGCCGUGGU
Molecule: long non-coding RNA, 1015 nt
Filed under: Cyanistes caeruleus (blue tit)
Lineage: Eukaryota; Metazoa; Chordata; Aves; Passeriformes; Paridae
Description: lncRNA (ENSCCEG00000001039.1)
Source: RNAcentral